AUCGUCUUUCAGGGCCUCCCUUGUUUACUGUAAUCCUCUUGUGUAAAUAAAGCACAUACAUUUAGGCCAGGGUCUUGCUGAGGGGCAGCUGUCCCAUCC
This is a long non-coding RNA of Sapajus apella (tufted capuchin), 99 nucleotides long. RefSeq lists it as uncharacterized. Lineage: Eukaryota; Metazoa; Chordata; Mammalia; Primates; Cebidae. The transcript is spliced from 3 exons. The record is from RefSeq and is a predicted model, not a curated record.